Molecule: ribosomal RNA, 301 nt
Filed under: uncultured bacterium
Lineage: Bacteria
Description: partial 16S ribosomal RNA
Rfam family: Bacterial small subunit ribosomal RNA
Source: RNAcentral
CAGCCGCCGCGGUAAUACAGAGGGUGCGAGCGUUAAUCGGAUUUACUGGGCGUAAAGCGUGCGUAGGCGGUUUCUUAAGUCGGAUGUGAAAUCCCUGAGCUUAACUUAGGAAUUGCAUUCGAUACUGGGAAGCUAGAGUAUGGGAGAGGAUGGUAGAAUUCCAGGUGUAGCGGUGAAAUGCGUAGAGAUCUGGAGGAAUACCGAUGGCGAAGGCAGCCAUCUGGCCUAAUACUGACGCUGAGGUACGAAAGCAUGGGGAGCAAACAGGAUUAGAGACCCCGGUAGUCCCUGUCUCUUAUAC